AGAGUUUGAUCCUGGCUCAGAACGAACGCUGGCGGCGUGGAUAAGACAUGCAAGUCGGACGAGAUUUUCCGUUGUAGCAAUACGAUGGAAAGUCUAGUGGCGAACGGGUGCUUAACACGUGGGCAACCUGCCAGGAAGUGGGGGAUAGCUCGCCGAAAGGCGAAUUAAUACCGCAUGUGAUUAGAGUGGACAUCCAUUCGAAAUUAAAGUCGGGGCAACCUGACGCUUCUUGUGGGGCCCGCGGCCUAUCAGCUAGUUGGUGAGGUAACGGCUCACCAAGGCUUUGACGGGUAGCUGGUCUGAGAGGACGACCAGCCACACUGGGACUGAGACACGGCCCAGACACCUACGGGUGGCAGCAGUCGAGAAUUUUUCUCAAUGGGGGAAACCCUGAAGGAGCGACGCCGCGUGGAGGAUGAAGGUCUUCGGAUUGUAAACUCCUGUCAUUGGGGAACAAUGCGCAGAUAUUAACUGUAUUUGCGUUGAUAGUACCCGAAGAGGAAGAGACGGCUAACUCUGUGCCAGCAGCCGCGGUAAUACAGAGGUCUCAAGCGUUGUUCGGAUUCAUUGGGCGUAAAGGGUGCGUAGGCGGCGCGGUAAGUCGGGUGUGAAAUCUCGGAGCUUAACUCCGAAACUGCAUUCGAUACUGCCGUGCUUGAGGACUGGAGAGGAGACUGGAAUUUACGGUGUAGCGGUGAAAUGCGUAGAUAUCGUAAGGAAGACCAGUGGCGAAGGCGGGUCUCUGGACAGUUCCUGACGCUGAGGCACGAAGGUCAGGGGAGCAAACGGGAUUAGAUACCCCAGUAGUCC
Molecule: ribosomal RNA, 810 nt
Filed under: uncultured bacterium
Lineage: Bacteria
Description: bacterial SSU rRNA
Rfam family: Bacterial small subunit ribosomal RNA
Source: RNAcentral